AGCAGCAUGACACCAAGGGC
RNAcentral lists this microRNA (20 nucleotides) under Picea abies (Norway spruce). Its description in RNAcentral is "pab-miR11429b". Lineage: Eukaryota; Viridiplantae; Streptophyta; Pinopsida; Pinales; Pinaceae. The record is from miRBase by way of RNAcentral.